Unclassified non-coding RNA from Jaculus jaculus (lesser Egyptian jerboa), 299 nucleotides. Its record names the gene 7SK. It matches the Rfam family "7SK RNA". Rfam says of the family: 7SK was discovered as an abundant small nuclear RNA in the mid-70s but a possible function has only recently been suggested. Two independent studies have found that 7SK RNA binds the CDK9/cyclin T complex (known as elongation factor P-TEFb). Lineage: Eukaryota; Metazoa; Chordata; Mammalia; Rodentia; Dipodidae. The record is from Ensembl.
UGAUAUAAGGCAGACAGGAAACGAUAGAAGUAAAUCAUGGCUGUAAGGGCAAUCUUGUGACAACUGUCACCUCAUCGAUCACCCUGGUUGAUUGGCAGAUGGAGCUGUGUGUUCAGUUGAGGAGCAUGAUCUUCACAGACAGAAGAGGACUAUUCUUCAGUCAAGAGUAUAUAGGCAGAUGAACUUCCCCACUAGAACCUCCAAACAAAUUUUCAUGAGCGAACCAAUAAUAGCACAGUAAGAUUUUGUUGGAUGGAAUGUCUUUCAACUGUCAAACUCCCUCAAGACCCAAUGCAUAU